RNAcentral lists this long non-coding RNA (673 nucleotides) under Sinocyclocheilus anshuiensis. RNAcentral describes it as "lncRNA (ENSSANG00000002921.1)". The record is from RNAcentral. Lineage: Eukaryota; Metazoa; Chordata; Actinopteri; Cypriniformes; Cyprinidae.
GAGAAGUAGACGUGGUUUCUACAGAAGCGAGAAACAGACCGCAAGGAUUUUACCCUUUUAUUGUCUUCAAACGAAAAUAGAGACACAGAAUGAAAAAGGAAACCCUUUAUCUCGGAAAGCUUGAGCAAAUCAGUGAUCUGAAAUUUGGCUUGUGGUGAGAUGGAGACAGCAGAUUUCCAGAUGAAUGCUGGGAGGAACACGCCAUCAUGCAGAUUCUGGCUAUGAUGAUGAUGAUGAUGAUGAUUUUGAUGACAUCAUCACAUUCAGCUCUUGCAGAUCAAAGUUUAACGUGUCAUAAUGAUUACCACAACACCUUCACAUGUGUUUGGGACACCUCAAAACUGGACGUGAUCCCUCCGGUCCAACCCGAGACCGUCUGCUGGAUUCAUGUAACGGUUACGAAGCUGUAAGGAAAAAUGUGACUUCAUAACGUAUUUGGCUUGUGCAUUUACAUUUACAUUUAGUCAUUUAGCAGACGCUUUUAUCCAAAGCGACUUACAAUUGGGGGAUACAUAAAGCGAUUCUUCUUAAGAGGCAAACAGACACAGGAAGUGGUUGUAAUACCAAGUUCUUAGACAUUGUUCAAAUAAGUACAAGCUAGAAAGAGAAGGAAUAAAUAAAGAGAGAGAGUUUUUGUGGCUUGUGAUUAAAUCAGCCUUCAUAUUGUACAGGA